GAUGAACGCUAGCGGCAGGCCUAAUACAUGCAAGUCGGACGGGAUCCAUUGAUAGCUUGCUAUCAAUGGUGAGAGUGGCGCACGGGUGCGUAACGCGUGAGCAACCUGCCUCCAUCAGGGGGAUAGCCUCUCGAAAGAGAGAUUAACACCGCAUGAUAUCAACAGUUCGCAUGUUCAGUUGAUUAAAUAUUUAUAGGAUGGAGAUGGGCUCGCGUGACAUUAGCUAGUUGGUAGGGUAACGGCUUACCAAGGCGACGAUGUCUAGGGGCUCUGAGAGGAGAAUCCCCCACACUGGUACUGAGACACGGACCAGACUCCUACGGGAGGCAGCAGUAAGGAAUAUUGGUCAAUGGGCGGAAGCCUGAACCAGCCAUGCCGCGUGCAGGAUGACUGCCCUAUGGGUUGUAAACUGCUUUUGUCCAGGAAUAAACCUAAAUACGAGUAUUUAGCUGAAUGUACUGGAAGAAUAAGGAUCGGCUAACUCCGUG
RNAcentral lists this ribosomal RNA (488 nucleotides) under uncultured bacterium. Its description in RNAcentral is "partial 16S ribosomal RNA". It matches the Rfam family "Bacterial small subunit ribosomal RNA", at positions 28 to 507 of the family's 1533-position model. The record is from RNAcentral.